AUGAGUGUGCUCUGUGUCCUCAUCUGGACUCUCCUCUGCUUGAGUCAAGGGUCUGCUGGACAAAACGUUGUGGUGACUCAGUCAGCAUCCAGAUCUGUGCAGCUUGGUCAGACUGUAAACAUCAACUGUAAAGUCAGUACACAAGUAGCUCAGUAUUCUGGUUCACGAUACUUCCUGGCCUGGUACCAUCAGAAAACUGGAGAAGCUCCCAAAGCUCUGAUCUACUUAACAUCAGACAGACUUUCAGGAAUCUCCUCCAGACUGAGUGGAAGUGGAGCAGGGAAUGGCCUGGACUUCACUCUGAGCAUCAGUGCAGCUCAGGCUGACGAUGCAGGAGUUUAUUACUGUCAGAGUUACCACAGCACGCCGAUGUUCACACAGUGA
Molecule: non-coding RNA, 384 nt
Organism: Neolamprologus brichardi
Lineage: Eukaryota; Metazoa; Chordata; Actinopteri; Cichliformes; Cichlidae
Source: the annotation of a RefSeq genome assembly